AUGCUCAAGCUUCUCUUCAUCUAUUAUGCUAAUCUUUCGUGUUUUACUAAAGAUUACCGUAGAAAGGAGCAUCCUAAUGAGCUUAAGCAAACUUUUGGAAUCCCAAAUUGUGUGAUU
Small nuclear RNA from Parasteatoda tepidariorum (common house spider), 117 nucleotides. RefSeq annotates it as U5 spliceosomal RNA. NCBI's taxonomy places the organism in Eukaryota, Metazoa, Arthropoda, Arachnida, Araneae, Theridiidae. The record is from RefSeq and is a predicted model, not a curated record.